RNAcentral lists this ribosomal RNA (253 nucleotides) under uncultured bacterium. Its description in RNAcentral is "partial 16S ribosomal RNA". It matches the Rfam family "Bacterial small subunit ribosomal RNA", at positions 524 to 776 of the family's 1533-position model. The record is from RNAcentral.
UACGUAGGGGGCAAGCGUUGUCCGGAAUCAUUGGGCGUAAAGCGCGUGUAGGCGGCUUGGUAAGUCUGGUGUGAAACCUUGGGGCUCAACCCCAAGCCUGCACUGGAUACUGCCUCGCUUGAGUCCGGGAGGGGAGAGCGGAAUUCCUAGUGUAGCGGUGAAAUGCGCAGAUAUUAGGAAGAACACCGGUGGCGAAGGCGGCUCUCUGGAACGGUACUGACGCUGAGACGCGAAAGCGUGGGGAGCGAACAGG